UAACCUUAUAUUAAAACCAAAAAUCAAAUGGUUGUUUUGAUGAAUGUUUAAUAGAGCCAAUUUGGACUUUGUGGCUGACUAGUGGAAAUCUUGUUCUCAUAUCUGGUUAUUAUAAUGGAUCAUCUGUGGUCAAACGCGGAUGUUUAAAACUGAACUGCUGUCGCCACCGUGAGGCAACAGAGGGGAGGACAGCCACUUACAACUUCUCUCAUGAAUUAGUCCGUUUUGACAUACCUUAUCAUUGCCUUGAUAUAUGUUUAUGCUAGUUGUAUUUAGACACAUUAUGGUGUUUCUACUCAAACGUCCUGCUGAAGUAAUGAAGUUAGCUGGCUAGAUUACAACAUCCAAGUUGACGAGAGCCAUUCGAGUGAGUGAGUAAGUUUGGAGGACCUUCGGUUUGGAAACUGCUCCUACAGUACAUACCUGCGCCAAAUUCUGAUCAGAAACCAGUACUGAUCCAUGUGUGUGGAGUGAACCCAAUGGAGACCAACACAUGCUCUGGGACCUACACCAGGAAGCCCAGCCUGCCCUACACUCCAGGAACUGAUGUGUCCGGGGUUGUGGAGGCUGUUGGAGAUGGGGUCCAACUUACAGGUGGGAGUGUGCAGCGUGUCAGGUGGCCUUGGGUCUGAGGGUCCUGGGGACAGCAGGGACCGCAGAGGGACUGAAGCUUGCCCUGAAGAACGGAGCUCACAUAGAAUGCUCUUUCCAUGACAUAGACUGACCACAUGAAUCCAGGGGAAAGCUAUGAUCCCUUAUUGAUGUCACUUGUUAACUCCACUUCAAUCAGUGUUGAUGAACAGGAGGAGGCAAGUUAUAGAAGGAUUUUUAAGCCUUGGGACAAUUGAGACAUGGAUUGUGUAUGUGUGGCAUUCAGAGGGUGAAUGGGCAAGACAAAACAGUUCAGUGCCUUUGAACCGGGUAAUGGUAGAAGGUGCCAGGCACACCGGUUUGUGUCAAGAACUGCAACGCUGAUGUAUUUUUCACUCUCAACAGUUUCCAGUGUGUGUCAAGAAUGGUCCCCCACCCAUGAAGCCAAUGGUGACUUUAACAGAGUUACUGAGUUUAAUGGCUGUGAUAGGGGAAAAACUGAGGAUGGAUGAACAACAUUGUAGUUAUUCCCCAAUACUAACCUAAUUGACAGAGUGAAGAGAAGGAAGCCUGUACAGAGUAAAAAUAUUCCAAAACAUGCAUCCUGUUUGCAACAAGGCACCAAAGUAAUAAUGCAAAAAAUGUGGCAAAGCAAUUAACUUUUUGCACUGAAUAAAAAGUGUUAUGUUUGGGGAAAAUCCAUUACAACACAUUACUGAGUACCACUCUCCAUAUUUUCAAGCAUAGUGGUGGCUGCAUCUUGUUAUGGGUAUGAUUGUAAUCAUUAAGGACUGGGGAGUUUUUCAGGAUAAAGAAACGGAAUGGAGCAGGCAAAAUCCUAGAGGAAAACCUGGUUCAGUCUGCUUUCCACCAGACACUGGGAGAUGAAUUCACCUUUCAGCAGGACAAUAACCUAAAACACAAGGCCAAAUCUACACUGGAGUUGCUUACCAAGAAGACAGUGAAUGUUCCCAAGUGACCGUGUUACAGUUUUAACUUAACUCUACUUGAAAAUCUAUGGCAAGACCUGAAAAUGGUUGUCUAGCAAUGAUCAAUGAUCAACAACCAAUUUGACAGAGCAUGAAGAAUUUUGAAGAUAAAAUUCCAGUUGUAGAAAGCUCUUAGAGACUUACCCAGAAAGGGUCACAGCUGUAAUCACUGCCAAAUGUGCUUCUGCAUAGUAUUGACUCAGGGGUGUGGCACUUAUGUAAAUGAGAUAUUUCUGUAUUUCUGUAUUUCAAUAAAUUUGCAAACAU
Oncorhynchus keta (chum salmon) is the source of this 1847-nucleotide long non-coding RNA. RefSeq lists it as uncharacterized. NCBI's taxonomy places the organism in Eukaryota, Metazoa, Chordata, Actinopteri, Salmoniformes, Salmonidae. The transcript has 4 exons. The record is from RefSeq and is a predicted model, not a curated record.